UACGUAGGGGCCUAGCGUUGUCCGGAUUUAUUGGGCGUAAAGAGCUCGUAGGCGGGGGAGCAAGUCUGCUGUGAAAGCCCGGAGCUCAACUCCGGAGGGUCGGCGGAUACUGUCUCUCUUGAGGGAGGCAGGGAGAAGUGGAAUGGCUGGUGUAGCGGUGAAAUGCGUAGAUAUCGGGAGGAACACCUGUGGCGAAAGCGGCUCACUGGACCACAACUGACGCUGAGGCGCGAAAGCUAGGGGAGCAAACAGG
RNAcentral lists this ribosomal RNA (253 nucleotides) under uncultured bacterium. Its description in RNAcentral is "partial 16S ribosomal RNA". It matches the Rfam family "Bacterial small subunit ribosomal RNA", at positions 524 to 776 of the family's 1533-position model. The record is from RNAcentral.